Cornus florida is the source of this 1527-nucleotide RNA transcript. RefSeq lists it as uncharacterized. The transcript is spliced from 6 exons. The record is from RefSeq and is a predicted model, not a curated record. NCBI's taxonomy places the organism in Eukaryota, Viridiplantae, Streptophyta, Magnoliopsida, Cornales, Cornaceae.
AAAAAUGUUUCUUUUUGGCACAGUCUAUCUAAGACCGUCCCUAAUUCCACAAAAAAAAAAAAAAAAAUAGCGCCAAACUUAGCGCUUCAAUUUUCUUUUGUUUGGCGAUAUUGUACGCGAGCAAAAAUGAAACAUAUAAAAUUAUUUUAUUUUACAAAAUAGGGAAGCCCAUCAAACUACGUCGUUUUAAUCUAAAAAAAUUUAGUAAACCCUAUAUCAUUUGCAAACCUCUUACACCGUCACAAACCUCUUCAGUUCUUUGAUCUCAAAAGUUGCAGACGUCUUCCACCGGCAUGAAAUUUGAAGACCUUACCUCUUAAUCAAACAUUCUUUGGGCUUGAUUUUCACCCAAUUCAAUAGCUCCUGUUCAAAACGUCUUCAAUCUUCAGCGAAUCACAAGAUCAUGAUCCUGAGCUUGUGGAGAGUGCGUUAAUAUGAAAGUGGACAGAGGAUCAACGUCAGCGCCUGUUUCUCGGCUUCCACUAGAGUAACAAAAAACAAAAGUCUGAAAGGAAGGUAUCUAUAGAAACAGACUGAUAAGAAUGAUAAUGACAGAUAAGUCACAUAAUUCUAAUGCCUCUUUGUUCUUGCGUAGAAGUCUUUAUAUUGACUUAAUGGCAUUCAACUUUAGAGGUCAAUCAGAUGUGUUUGAUAAUGGGUCAUCCAGAGAUAAUUCUGAGGAUUCAAUGUUUGAUAUUGAGAACCCUAAAAGGUCUGAGCUAUCAAUUCAACAUCCAAGAUCAAAUGUGCAUCAAGAAAAUGACUCUCAUGGGCUUUUAAUCGAGCAACCCUUCAAGCCUAUUCUUUAUUUGGAAAAAGAUGUGCCAAACCUUGACCACGAAGAAUAUCCAUUUCCAGCAAAGGGCUUGAGCAUGACUUAGGACAGGGUUAGAAACUUCCUGAUAUGAUGUUUGCUACAAGGUGUAGCAUAUCUGAUGCAUGCACUUCUAUAGCUAAACAGCUGGAGAAUGUUUACUCAUCGGUUUCGGUAAGUUUAUUUCCUCACAACUAGUCCGUCCUUAAUUAUCAUGUUAAGGCUAAUACUUAAUAAAGCAGUUCUAGUAAAUGAUGAAAUUAUUUAUGCAACAACACCACCUCGAUAUUCACAUGUCAUAAGGAAAAUGAUGUUUGUUGAUAGUUAGUGUUUGAUGUUAUGUGUUGCUCUAAUGUACUGGAGAUAGGUAGCUCAGCUCAGUUUAUCCUUUGUGAUAUGAUUCCGGUCCAGAAUAUAGUAGGUCCUCCGCUAAGCAUGGGAAGCACCUUUGGUUUGGAAGAGAAAUUGGAUACAAUUCAGAAGCUACUUGAGUAGCAACAGCAACUGCAGCAACAACAUUUUCAUGACUGCAUUCAGUUUAAAAUGAUGUUUUAAUUUUUGAGGAUGUUUGAAACCAUUUGAUGUUAAAGCAGCUAGUAGAUACUUUUUAGUUCUUGUUUACAAAAUUAGAGAAUUUGUAACUUCUUCGUGAGAUUAAGAGCUCGUUUGUUGGCACUGUAUUGUGGUGACAAUAUAUUUUUUUCUUUCUAAAA